CGACAAUUCACUUGAUUCAAAGAACCCAUCAUCGGGAACCCAAGUUCUCCACACUGUAUCAUUAAAUGGCGUCACUUUUGGACCCCCGACAUUCACCCUAUACAAUGUUUCAAGAGCCUGCUUGGUUAAACCAUCAAAUUUCUCAGUUUUAUUGCCAUUCACAAGAAUUGCCAUAUCAGCAAUCAAAUCUUUAGGUGCAGACAUCACUUCAAUUGCAUUAACAAACCCAAA
Molecule: unclassified non-coding RNA, 231 nt
Filed under: Hevea brasiliensis (rubber tree)
Lineage: Eukaryota; Viridiplantae; Streptophyta; Magnoliopsida; Malpighiales; Euphorbiaceae
Source: RNAcentral